AUGUGGAGCAACCCUUCCCCUGAGAGGAGAGCGAGAAGCUGCUGUACACUUGCCCUGGACUUAGAGCAACCCCAUGGACUGGAGCAGCCAGAAGUAUCCUGUUUGUUCACAUCUCACCUUAGCCUGUGGUUUCAAGACACAUCAAAGCAAGAAAGAAGCAAGGAAGCUGUUGGGAGAAUGCAGUUUCUGACAUGUUUUGCAAGAGUAGUCCUUUGAAAACUAAUGAAAGCCCCAUUUUGCACCUGAAGGAGCUCUUCAGAACUGUAAAAUACUUCCAGAGGGAAUCUACAUCACGAAAGUUCUUCUCAAGCUGGCUGCUUCAACCAGGGGAAGCAGAGACACUGAUUUGACUGCUGCUGGCUCCACUACAGAUGUAUGCUAAAGCAGUGGUGGAACACU
This 399-nucleotide long non-coding RNA is filed under the name Numida meleagris (helmeted guineafowl). Its description in RNAcentral is "lncRNA (ENSNMEG00000006991.1)". The record is from RNAcentral. Lineage: Eukaryota; Metazoa; Chordata; Aves; Galliformes; Numididae.